This 301-nucleotide ribosomal RNA is filed under the name uncultured bacterium. Its description in RNAcentral is "partial 16S ribosomal RNA". It matches the Rfam family "Bacterial small subunit ribosomal RNA", at positions 509 to 809 of the family's 1533-position model. The record is from RNAcentral.
CAGCAGCCACGGGAACACGAGGGGGGCUAGCGUUGUUCGGAAUCACUGGGCGUAAAGCGCACGUAGGCGGAUUUUUAAGUCAGGGGUGAAAUCCCGAGGCUCAACCUCGGAACUGCCUUUGAUACUGGAAAUCUUGAGUCCGGGAGAGGUGAGUGGAACUGCGAGUGUAGAGGUGAAAUUCGUAGAUAUUCGCGAGAACACCAGUGGCGAAGGCGGCUCACUGGCCCGGAACUGACGCUGAGGUGCGAAAGCGUGGGGAGCAAACAGGAUUAGAGACCCGGGUAGUCCCUGUCUUUAUACA